AGAUGACAGUUCCUCCUAUUGCUCAGUCCUGGCAAGCAGGAUUUUAGGUCAUCGCGGGUUUAACUUGGUCUUUUUCACUUGGGGUAAUGAGGCAGCAGGGGUGCCAGUCUAUCGCGAAUUUUGCGGGACCAGACAAUG
Polyodon spathula (Mississippi paddlefish) is the source of this 138-nucleotide small nucleolar RNA. RefSeq annotates it as small nucleolar RNA SNORA79. The record is from RefSeq and is a predicted model, not a curated record. The transcript has a single exon. NCBI's taxonomy places the organism in Eukaryota, Metazoa, Chordata, Actinopteri, Acipenseriformes, Polyodontidae.